This 478-nucleotide ribosomal RNA is filed under the name uncultured organism. RNAcentral describes it as "partial 16S ribosomal RNA". It matches the Rfam family "Bacterial small subunit ribosomal RNA", at positions 331 to 800 of the family's 1533-position model. The record is from RNAcentral.
GUACACUCCUGCGGGAGGCAGCAGUGGGGAAUUUUGGACAAUGGGCGAAAGCCUGAUCCAGCCAUGCCGCGUGCAGGAUGAAGGCCUUCGGGUUGUAAACUGCUUUUGUACGGAACGAAACGGCCUUUUCUAAUAAAGAGGGCUAAUGACGGUACCGUAAGAAUAAGCACCGGCUAACUACGUGCCAGCAGCCGCGGUAAUACGUAGGGUGCAAGCGUUAAUCGGAAUUACUGGGCGUAAAGCGUGCGCAGGCGGUUAUGUAAGACAGUUGUGAAAUCCCCGGGCUCAACCUGGGAACUGCAUCUGUGACUGCAUAGCUAGAGUACGGUAGAGGGGGAUGGAAUUCCGCGUGUAGCAGUGAAAUGCGUAGAUAUGCGGAGGAACACCGAUGGCGAAGGCAAUCCCCUGGACCUGUACUGACGCUCAUGCACGAAAGCGUGGGGAGCAAACAGGAUUAGAAACCCGAGUAGUCCCAUGA